CGAACGGGUGAGUAAUACAUAAGUAACCUGCCCUAGACAGGGGGAUAACUAUUGGAAACGGUAGCUAAGACCGCAUAGGUACGGACACUGCAUGGUGACCGUAUUAAAAGUGCCUCAAAGCACUGGUAGAGGAUGGACUUAUGGCGCAUCAGCUGGUUGGCGGGGUAACGGCCCACCAAGGCGACGAUGCGUAGCCGACCUGAGAGGGUGACCGGCCACACUGGGACUGAGACACGGUCCAGACUCCUACGGGAGGCAGCAUG
RNAcentral lists this ribosomal RNA (263 nucleotides) under uncultured bacterium. RNAcentral's name for it is "partial 16S ribosomal RNA". It matches the Rfam family "Bacterial small subunit ribosomal RNA", at positions 99 to 353 of the family's 1533-position model. The record is from RNAcentral.